This 431-nucleotide ribosomal RNA is filed under the name uncultured bacterium. RNAcentral's name for it is "partial 16S ribosomal RNA". It matches the Rfam family "Bacterial small subunit ribosomal RNA", at positions 338 to 795 of the family's 1533-position model. The record is from RNAcentral.
CCUACGGGGGGCUGCAGUCUAGAGGCUUCGGCAAUGGGGGAAACCCUGACCGAGCGACGCCGCGUGCGGGAUGAAGGGCUUCGGCCUGUAAACCGCUUUUGCCAGGGGCGCAGUACCUGGCGAAUAAGCCCCGGCUAACUCCGUGCCAGCAGCCGCGGUAAGACGGAGGGGGCAAGCGUUGUUCGGAAUUAUUGGGCGUAAAGGGCUCGUAGGCGGACCGGUAAGUCUGGCGUGAAAUCUCACCACUCAACGGGGAGGGGCCGUCGGAUACUGCUGGUCUGGAGUACGGUAGAGGACCAUGGAAUUCCAGGUGUAGCGGUGGAAUGCGUAGAGAUCUGGAAGAACACCGGUGGCGAAGGCGGUGGUCUGGGCGUACUGACGCUGAGGAGCGAAAGCUAGGGGAGCGAACGGGAUUAGAUACCCUUGUAGUC